GCCUACUAGCUUAACGGUAAAGCACCCCCUCCACAAAUUGCUAAUUCCAUUUCAAUUUGUGAAGGUGUGAUUGUGGGUUCGAGUCCCGCAGUAGGCG
Molecule: transfer RNA, 97 nt
Filed under: Saprospiraceae bacterium
Lineage: Bacteria; Pseudomonadati; Bacteroidota; Saprospiria; Saprospirales; Saprospiraceae
Also listed under: 1 other name
Description: tRNA-OTHER
Rfam family: tRNA
About the family: Transfer RNA (tRNA) molecules are approximately 80 nucleotides in length. Their secondary structure includes four short double-helical elements and three loops (D, anti-codon, and T loops).
Source: RNAcentral